This 301-nucleotide ribosomal RNA is filed under the name uncultured bacterium. Its description in RNAcentral is "partial 16S ribosomal RNA". It matches the Rfam family "Bacterial small subunit ribosomal RNA", at positions 509 to 808 of the family's 1533-position model. The record is from RNAcentral.
CAGCAGCCGCGGUAAUACGUAGGUCCCGAGCAUUGUCCGGAUUUAUUGGGCGUAAAGCGAGCGCAGGCGGUUAGAUAAGUCUGAAGUUAAAGGCCGUGGCUUAACCAUAGUACGCUUUGGAAACUGUUUAACUUGAGUGCAAGAGGGGAGAGUGGAAUUCCAUGUGUAGCGGUGAAAUGCGUAGAUAUAUGGAGGAACACCGGUGGCGAAAGCGGCUCUCUGGCUUGUAACUGACGCUGAGGCUCGAAAGCGUGGGGAGCAAACAGGAUUAGAUACCCCUGUAGUCCCUGUCUCUUAUACA